This 846-nucleotide ribosomal RNA is filed under the name Exserohilum rostratum. RNAcentral's name for it is "partial large subunit ribosomal RNA". It matches the Rfam family "Eukaryotic large subunit ribosomal RNA", at positions 69 to 933 of the family's 3401-position model. Lineage: Eukaryota; Fungi; Ascomycota; Dothideomycetes; Pleosporales; Pleosporaceae. The record is from RNAcentral.
CAGGGAUUGCCCUAGUAACGGCGAGUGAAGCGGCAACAGCUCAAAUUUGAAAUCUGGCUCUUUCAGAGUCCGAGUUGUAAUUUGCAGAGGGCGCUUUGGCUUUGGCAGCGGUCCAAGUUCCUUGGAACAGGACGUCACAGAGGGUGAGAAUCCCGUACGUGGUCGCUAGCUAUUGCCGUGUAAAGCCCCUUCGACGAGUCGAGUUGUUUGGGAAUGCAGCUCUAAAUGGGAGGUAAAUUUCUUCUAAAGCUAAAUAUUGGCCAGAGACCGAUAGCGCACAAGUAGAGUGAUCGAAAGAUGAAAAGCACUUUGGAAAGAGAGUCAAACAGCACGUGAAAUUGUUGAAAGGGAAGCGCUUGCAGCCAGACUUGCUUGCAGUUGCUCAUCCGGGCUUUUGCCCGGUGCACUCUUCUGCAGGCAGGCCAGCAUCAGUUUGGGCGGUGGGAUAAAGGUCUCUGUCAUGUACCUCUCUUCGGGGAGGCCUUAUAGGGGAGGCGACAUACCACCAGCCUAGACUGAGGUCCGCGCAUCUGCUAGGAUGCUGGCGUAAUGGCUGUAAGCGGCCCGUCUUGAAACACGGACCAAGGAGUCUAACAUCUAUGCGAGUGUUUGGGUGUCAAGCCCGAGCGCGUAAUGAAAGUGAACGGAGGUGGGAACCCGCAAGGGUGCACCAUCGACCGAUCCUGAAGUUUACGGAAGGAUUUGAGUAAGAGCAUGGCUGUUGGGACCCGAAAGAUGGUGAACUAUGCUUGAAUAGGGUGAAGCCAGAGGAAACUCUGGUGGAGGCUCGCAGCGGUUCUGACGUGCAAAUCGAUCGUCAAAUUUGGGCAUAGGGGCGAAAGACUA